This is a non-coding RNA of Pelobates cultripes (western spadefoot toad), 529 nucleotides long. The record is from the annotation of a GenBank genome assembly. NCBI's taxonomy places the organism in Eukaryota, Metazoa, Chordata, Amphibia, Anura, Pelobatidae.
CUGAGUUCCUCCUAAUCCAAGACCUCAUGUGGCUGGAGUGUGUCAGCAGUUCCUGUGAGAUGAAGGCCUUGAUGCUAUGGACUGGCCCGCCCGUUCCCCAAACCUGAAUCCAAUUGAGCACAUCUGGGACAUCUUGUCUUGCUCCAUCCACCAACGUCACGUUGCACCACAGACUGUCCAGGAGUUGGCAGAUGCUUUAGUCCAGGUCUGGGAGGAGAUCCCUCAGGAGACCAUCCGCUACUUCAUCAGGAGCAUGCACAGGUGUUGUAGGGAGGUCAUACAGGCACGUGGAGGCCACACACACCACUGAGCCUCAUUUUGACUUGUUUUAAGGACAUUACAGCAAAGUUGGAUCAGCCUGUAGUGUGUUUUUUCACUUUAAUUUUGAGUGUGACUCCAAAUCCAGACCUCCAUGGGUUGAAAAAUUUGAUUUCCAUUUUUUUAUUUUUGUGUGAUUUUGUUGUCAGCACAUUCAACUAUGUACAGAACAAAGUAUUUCAGAAGAAGAUUUAAUUCAUUCAGAUCUAGG